This 485-nucleotide long non-coding RNA is filed under the name Gossypium raimondii (Peruvian cotton). RNAcentral's name for it is "long non-coding RNA (GRAI_LNC007335)". The record is from RNAcentral. Lineage: Eukaryota; Viridiplantae; Streptophyta; Magnoliopsida; Malvales; Malvaceae.
UGUUGGUCUGGUGGCUAAGGUGUGUGUUGGCGGGUGGGAGGUCUAGAGUUCAAGUCCCUACGUGAGCAAGGGAAUUAAUUUUUGUUGCUUGGCCGUGUGGCGUGGUGGAGUCCUAGUCAAAUUGAAAUUUCGAGUAGUGGAGUUGUUGUGGGAGGUUAGGGAGAGAAGUAAGGAGAUGAGUUACCAAUUUUUUUAGGCAUUAUCUUUUUGUUUAGUUUUUUUUUCAAAUUUUAGACUCUUGUCCACCUUUCUGAUGUUUUCUCUCUUCUCUCUUCUCUCUCACUCUUAAUUUUUAGUUUUCCUCUUUUUUCUAAAUAAUAAAUCCUUGCUGCUGAAUUUCCUCUGAAUUCCCCUUCCGUUUUCGUUGUCUUUCUUUAUCUUUUCCCCUUCGUGCAAUCUUGCAAUUGUGUUGUACGAUAAGUUUCCGUUUUAUUAAACUCGAAUGUUACUCUAGAUAAGGGAUUAAGGGGUGUUUUGUUGACUGU